AUAUAAAGGCAAACCUGUCGAAAGGCAGCGGCGCAAAGCGAAGAGCCUAAGGUGCUUGCACUAUGGUCGUCUGGCUGC
Molecule: non-coding RNA, 78 nt
Filed under: uncultured Ruminococcus sp.
Lineage: Bacteria; Bacillati; Bacillota; Clostridia; Eubacteriales; Oscillospiraceae
Description: Cyclic di-GMP-I riboswitch
Rfam family: c-di-GMP-I riboswitch aptamer
About the family: GEMM was predicted in a large-scale screen for bacterial structured RNA regulatory elements. Genes associated with GEMM are involved in a diverse array of functions, including chemotaxis regulation, signal transduction, secretion and chitin.
Source: RNAcentral